UACGGGGGGAGCAAGCGUUGUUCGGAUUUACUGGGCGUAAAGGGCGCGUAGGCGGUCGUGACAAGUCACUUGUGAAAUCUCCGGGCUUAACUCGGAACGGUCAAGUGAUACUGUCGGACUAGAGUACAGAAGGGGCAACUGGAAUUCUCGGUGUAGCGGUGAAAUGCGUAGAUAUUGGGAGGAACACCAGUGGCGAAGGCGGCUCACUGGACCGGAACUGACGCUGAGGCGCGAAAGCGUGGGGAGCAAACAGGG
Molecule: ribosomal RNA, 255 nt
Filed under: uncultured bacterium
Lineage: Bacteria
Description: partial 16S ribosomal RNA
Rfam family: Bacterial small subunit ribosomal RNA
Source: RNAcentral